RNAcentral lists this ribosomal RNA (190 nucleotides) under uncultured fungus. RNAcentral describes it as "partial 18S ribosomal RNA". It matches the Rfam family "Eukaryotic small subunit ribosomal RNA", at positions 892 to 1078 of the family's 1831-position model. The record is from RNAcentral. Lineage: Eukaryota; Fungi.
UAGUAUUCAAUUGUCAGAGGUGAAAUUCUUGGAUGUAUUGAAGACUAACUACUGCGAAAGCAUUUGCCAAGGAUGUUUUCAUUAAUCAAGAACGAAAGUUAGGGGAUCGAAGACGAUCAGAUACCGUCGUAGUCUUAACCAUAAACUAUGCCGACUAGGGAUCGGAUGAUGUUAAUUUUUUAAUGACUCA